CCGCCGGAGGUAUAGCUAGGGGGGUUCGAUUAAGCCAUGCGAGUCGAGAGGGUUCGGCCCUCGGCGUACUGCUCAGUAACACGUGGAUAACCUGCCCUAGGGAAGGGGAUAAUCCCGGGAAACUGGGGAUAAUACCCUAUAGGUUACAGAUGCUGGAAUGCUCUGUAAUCAAAAGUUCCGGCGCCCUAGGAUGGAUCUGCGGCCGAUUAGGUUGUUGUUGGGGUAAUGGCCCAACAAGCCAGUAAUCGGUACGGGUUGUGGGAGCAAGAGCCCGGAGUUGGAUUCUGAGACACGAAUCCAGGCCCUACGGGGCGCAGCAGGCGCGAAAACUUUACAAUGCGGGCAACCGUGAUAAGGGAACCUCGAGUGCCUGUAAAUGCAGGCUGUUCAGAUGCCUAAAACACAUCCGGAGAAAGGGCCGGGCAAGACCGGUGCCAGCCGCCGCGGUAAUACCGGCGGCUCGAGUGGUGGCCACUUUUAUUGGGCUUAAAGCGUUCGUAGCUGGGUUGUUAAGUCUCUUGGGAAAUCUGGCGGCUUAACCGUCAGGCGUCUAAGGGAUACUGGCAAUCUUGGAACCGGGAGAGGUGAGGGGUACUUCGGGGGUAGGAGUGAAAUCCUGUAAUCCUCGAGGGACCACCUGUGGCGAAGGCGCCUCACCAGAACGGCUUCGACAGUGAGGGACGAAAGCUGGGGGAGCAAACCGGAUUAGAUACCCGGGUAGUCCCAGCCGUAAACUAUGCGCGUUAGGUGUAUCGGUGACCACGAGUUACCGAGGUGCCGAAGGGAAACCGUGAAACGUACCGCCUGGGAAGUACGGCCGCAAGGUUUGAAACUUAAAACAAUUAGCGCCGGAACACCACCACACGAGGUACAAGCCGUUUAAUUGGAUUCAACGCCGCA
RNAcentral lists this ribosomal RNA (900 nucleotides) under uncultured euryarchaeote. Its description in RNAcentral is "bacterial SSU rRNA". It matches the Rfam family "Archaeal small subunit ribosomal RNA", at positions 14 to 922 of the family's 1478-position model. The record is from RNAcentral. Lineage: Archaea; Methanobacteriati; Methanobacteriota.